RNAcentral lists this ribosomal RNA (254 nucleotides) under uncultured bacterium. Its description in RNAcentral is "partial 16S ribosomal RNA". It matches the Rfam family "Bacterial small subunit ribosomal RNA", at positions 524 to 776 of the family's 1533-position model. The record is from RNAcentral.
UACAGGGGGUGCAAACGUUGCUCGGAAUCAUUGGGCGUAAAGCGCACGUAGGCGGUUCGUUAUGUCGGAUGUGAAAGCCCUUGGCUUAACCGAGGAAGUGCAUCCGAAACUGGCGAGCUAGAGUACGAAAGAGGAUCGCGGAAUUCCCGGUGUAGAGGUGAAAUUCGUAGAUAUCGGGAGGAACACCGGUGGCGAAGGCGGCGAUCUGGGUCGAUACUGACGCGUGAGGUGCGAAAGCGUGGGGAGCAAACAGG